RNAcentral lists this ribosomal RNA (253 nucleotides) under uncultured bacterium. RNAcentral describes it as "partial 16S ribosomal RNA". It matches the Rfam family "Bacterial small subunit ribosomal RNA", at positions 524 to 776 of the family's 1533-position model. The record is from RNAcentral.
UACGUAGGGUGCGAGCGUUAAUCGGAAUUAUUGGGCGUAAAGGGUGAGUAGGCGGUUUAGUAAGUUAAUAGUGAAAGCAUUGGGCUUAACCUGAUAAGUGCUAUUAAAACUGCUAGACUAGAGUUAGUUAGAGGAUUGUGGAAUUCCAAGUGUAGUAGUGAAAUGCGUAGAUAUUUGGAGGAACCUUAAUGGCGAAGGCAGCAAUCUGGGAUGAGACUGACGCUGAGUCACGAAAGCGUGGGGAGCAAACAGG